AUCGAUGAUGGACGGAACGGGGACGUAGCGGAUGAUCACUACCACCGGUACAUGGAAGAUGUGGAGAUCAUUCAUAGUUUGGGUGUCAACUCCUACAGAUUCUCAAUUUCAUGGGCGAGAAUCCUACCAAGCCGGCUUGGAGGCGUUAAUUCAGCUGGAGUAGCGUUCUACGACCGCCUGAUUGAUGCACUCGUGCACAAAGGGAUAGAGCCAUUUGUGACACUGCAUCACUUUGAUCUGCCGCACGAAAUGGAGACCCGAUACGGCGGUUGGCUGGGCGCCGAAAUCCGGGAGGAGUUUGACUACUACGCCGACGUGUGCUUCAAGGCGUUUGGUGACCGGGUGAAGUUCUGGGCAACGUUCAACGAGCCCAACCUGUUCACCAGGCUUGCAUACGUGCUGGGCAAGUACCCUCCGGCACGCUGCUCCACGCCGUUCGGGACAUGCAAGAGCGGGAACUCUCAUCGGGAACCCUACGUCGCGGCUCAUAACAUGCUGUUGUCACAUGCAGCCGCCGUCCACAACUACAAGAAGAAUUAUCAGGCAACGCAAGGCGGAUCGAUCGGUAUCGUGAUUGCGAUGAAAUGGUAUGAGCCGCUGACGAAUACCACGGAGGAUAUCCUGGCUGCGCGACGUGCCUUGUCUUUUGAGGUAGAUUGGUAUGUCCUCUUAUUUAUUCACCUUAGCACAAGUGCAACAACUAGUAUGAGAAUGUUCAUAUCAGCUUUACAUAGUUGUGCCACAAAAAAAAACUAUUAG
Molecule: ribosomal RNA, 759 nt
Filed under: Triticum aestivum (bread wheat)
Lineage: Eukaryota; Viridiplantae; Streptophyta; Magnoliopsida; Poales; Poaceae
Description: partial small subunit ribosomal RNA
Source: RNAcentral